Ostrea edulis (European flat oyster) is the source of this 263-nucleotide long non-coding RNA. RefSeq lists it as uncharacterized. NCBI's taxonomy places the organism in Eukaryota, Metazoa, Mollusca, Bivalvia, Ostreida, Ostreidae. The transcript is spliced from 2 exons. The record is from RefSeq and is a predicted model, not a curated record.
GUAUCUUGUGGAAGCAUGUGGAGGCCUUUUGAUAUCAUCUGCAAAAGAAUUCCAGAAUAAUGCAAUGAGGAAAGUAAUUUUGACUUGUUUUUCCGAUGAUGAUGUCAGUAAGGAGGAUUCAAAGAAAUUUAAAGAUUUGCAUUUUGAGACUGGAGUUCAGACAGUAAGUCGGGAGUGGCUGUUCGAUUCUCUAUCAUCUUCUCAUGCCAAAUCUUUGUGUAACUAUCUGAUAUAUGAAAAAGACAGUGAUAGUGGAAAAGAAA